UCCCUGGUGGUCCAGUGGCUAAGACUCUGAGCUCCCAAUUCAGGGUGCCAAGGUUCAAUCCCUGGUAAGGGAA
This 73-nucleotide transfer RNA is filed under the name Odocoileus virginianus texanus. It matches the Rfam family "tRNA". From Rfam's summary of the family: Transfer RNA (tRNA) molecules are approximately 80 nucleotides in length. Their secondary structure includes four short double-helical elements and three loops (D, anti-codon, and T loops). The record is from Rfam by way of RNAcentral. RNAcentral also lists the same sequence under 3 other names. Lineage: Eukaryota; Metazoa; Chordata; Mammalia; Artiodactyla; Cervidae.